CCGAAAGAUCCCGCAGUGCACCGCUUCACGAGCUACGAGGUACCACGGCGCGCCUGACAUCCGAGCGCGUCGCCGCCCCAAACUGCAUCAGCUGCACUUCACAACUGAGCAUCCUUAUCGUACAAGAUCAGCGACCACGACGGCGCAGGAGCUUACACCUCCUCCCCUCUCUGCAUUCGCCUGCGCCACACAGGAAACUAGAUUGACAGUAGUCGCGCGGCACCGUCAUCCAUAUCAGCGAGUCGUCUAGGCGGUGGGCUGCAGCUUCCAUGCCGGCAUCGCCGUCCGAAGCGCACACGACGCUGCAGUCGACCAUGGCAGCCGAGGGUGGUAGUGACGCCGUCUCCUCAUCCCCCCUUGACCACUCCGCCUCUGUCGCGGCUGCUGCAUUGGCGGGCAAUUCCGCCCACUGUGCGAGCAACGCCUCCAUCGCGGUCUUCCUCUUCGCGAAGGAGAAGCUGCUCUUCCGCUACCCCGACACGGACCCCUUUGUUGUGAAUGUGGCCGCGCAGGGCCCCUCCUCCGCCUCGUCUUCUUCGGCGGCGACGGGUGGAUCGGCAGCGGCGGCAGCAGCAGCGGCGGCGGCAGCGGCAGCCGACGCAUCGAGUAAGAAGGCUUCGGGCGAGAGCAACGCGUCUUCCGCCCCCAGCGCCGCGCACGCAGCGCCUUCGCAGCGGGACCGUCAACGCGGCCGUGGCCCCUAUGCCGAGCAAACUAAGAGGGGCGGCGGCGGCGGCAACAACAGCAGCGGUGGCACUCAUGUGGACCCGGACGAUGUCAGCAACACACAGACGCCGACCUCAUCGAUGAACGGCGGUGGCGGCAGUCGACUGAAGAAGUCGCCACACGUGCACGUCACUAUGGCGGUGGAUGUCAAGGACAGUCAUCAAUAUCACGGCACUGGCGGUGCCCACCCGCCAGGUGGGGCCGCUCCAGAUUCCAACGCACCAGUCAGCAGCAGCAGCGGCGUGGCACCGCAGCGCGGAAUGCGGCGGCCAGCCUCCAGCUAUUCCCUGGUGAGCGAUCACGUGAGCAGCAGUGGAGGCAGCUUCGGUCAUGGACACUGCGCCGUAUCAACUGGUGGAGGUGGCACAGCAGCCGCAGAGGGUCGCCGCGGGCUCACAACAAGGGGGCAACUCGGCAACUCGCCAGGUUCGAUGAUCCAAGUUCAGCACACGUCCACUGGAAGCACGCGGCGUCAGUUGUCUGGUGCGGCAGCGGCCGCCGCCUCCUCUAUCAGUGGCUCCUCCAACACGCGCAAGUCGAGCAACGUUUCCGCAGGGGCUGCCGCUGGUAGUGGCGGUGGUCCGGCAUCGGGUGGCGGUCGCAACGGAGCUCCACAGCAGCCGCAACAGCAGGUUGCCACCACGGGUUCUGCCACGUGUGUCGGCAUCGCCCCCAAUGUGCUCAUGCACCUCCUGCGUGGGGCUCUGUGUGGUACCACCACCAUCAACAUGGUCAACUGCACUUUCCUUGUGUUUCCGCUGUCCAUCGGAGCCGCCGCGCCGAACACGUUCAGCGGGCGCGACGGCACAGCAGGUAGCAGUAGCGGUAGCUUCGCCCCCCUUGAUCGUCUGCGGCUGCCACACCGCUCCGGAACGGCGCUCCUCGUAGUCGCGAUGAAGGAGCCAGACACGGACACCGGCGCCAUCGCGAACUUUACUCAGUGCUUCGUGAAUAUUCUGUGCCGCGAGGAACACCGCUGUCAGUACGUGUCCACGGAGCUGGAGCGGAUGGAGAUGCUGACCAACCACUGGGAAGUCGGCGGCGCCGCUGCGUUGGCGAGCGCUGCGGCCGCGGCUGCAGAGAAGCGGCGGCCGCACGGAGAGGAAGCGCAUCAGCAGCCAUUGAUGGCUGGAGGAGCCGGUGAGCCUUCCGGCGCUGGUGGCAGCGCAAUCUCUACGUCGGCGUCCGUCUCGCCUGCGCGAGAUCGCCGCCAUCGCGCGGCCAGUCCCAGAGGUGGUGACGCUGACAUGAGCGCUGGCUCCUCCGGCGACUAUGACUAUCUGUUUUCCGCCUCCCGACCCGCUGUCCGCCACAAGCUUGUGCCCGGUGUGGCCAGCGGUACCGCAAGCGAAAAGACCGUCUUGACAAGCCGCGGCGAUCGCGGCGCUGCAUCGGGGGCUCGCACGAGCCUGCAUCCUGCCUAUAACCAGCAGCAUCACCUUCAUCGCUCGAGAGAGUCCUCACCUUCUGCAGCAUCACAGGGCAGCAUGGCGGGGCCUCUCCUGGAGUGGGCUGAUCCGGACGACGACGCGGACGGUGAUGAUGGUGCGUACCGUGAAGACGGCCGCGAUGCGGACCAUGCCUUCUCGCGCACCGCGUCACCUUCCACUGGGAAAGGCGGAGAGCACAGCAGCAGCCGUCGCGGCUGUUUGUCGCCUGCUGCGACUGCCCCGUCCGCUCUCACCACCUCCGCGUCGUCACGCUCCUUGUACGAGCAGCUCGCCGUGCACGUGCAGCUGGCGUACGAGGUGCUGCGCGUGGCGCAGUGCAUUGACGUCUGGAACCGCACGAUGCGCGGUGGAUGCAGUGCGGGCAACGGCGCCGGUGGAGGAGCACUCGAGGGUGGUUUGUGGGGCAGUAGGACGAGCUGCAUGACGGGUUGCGGUCGUGGCGCCGCCGGUGCAUUACGAGAGCCGCGUCGGCGUCCAUCCAUCGCUGCGGGCUGCGCGCAACAGCAGCAGCAGAUUACCUUCGCCUCCGCUGGCGCUUCCCUCGACACUCUCCCAGAGGCGCUCCUUAUCAAUCACAUGUUGCUGUUGCCCAUGUCUCAUCUCACGGGCGCUGAGCGGCAGGAGGAAACCAACAGUCUGCGCUCGGCCUCCUCCCGCAUCCACCCCUGCAGCGUGCUCACCGUUGAGGCGGACCAGUUCACCGAGCAGCUGCAGCACCGCUAUCUCGACAUGAUGGGGAGGCGCUACGCCAAACUCAUCCCGCUGUCGACGGUGUACGCGUUGCUGCAGGCGCUGCCGUCGCCGCGACGAGCCGGCUCGUUUUACCGAAGUCUUGAACUCGCCUUUCUGGAGGCGGUGCAGCGACGCCACGUCCGUGCCGCUGCGGCGGCGGCGGCGGCGGCGAACAACACCAGCAUCACUAGCGUGAGCGGAGGGUUGGACGUAGGCGUGGCCGCCACCUCGGUGUCGCAGGCAGACCUUCGCGGCAGCCGCGACAUAAUCGACGAGGACCCAAAUGCCCUUCACACAUCCGCAGCGGCGGCGACGGCGGCCACGACAGCUGCCGGGCUCGACUUCCUCGCGAUGGAGAUUAUCGACUUCCUGCGCGUGAACGGCGCCAUCUCGGUAGCGUCGGAGAUGCACGUGUGCUUCACACAUGGCGAGGUGACCCCGGUGGCGUUUCUGGAUGCCGCUGUCGCACGUCGUCGCCGUCAUCGCCUGAAAGCAGAGCAGCGAAAGCUAAAGGCCGCUGCAGCUGCAGUGACAGCACUGAAGGAGCGCGACGAUGGUGACGCUGGCAAACGUAGAAAGCGCCGCGAUCACCGACGCUAUACAGCGCGUGACGCCGAAAUGGACGCGGAGGCAGGUAUCAACGGCGAGGCCGACUCGGCUGUCGCCAAGAUGGGGUUCCGCACACCGCUGAAGGCGAUGGGCGAUUCAGCAAGCGUGAGUCAGAGCUGGAUGUUGUCCCAGACGACGGUCGACGGACCCGCUACCACCGGUGCGACGCCGGAGGCUACGGCUGACCCGUUGGACGCGGUGUUGGACAUGGAGACGGUGCCGGCUGCGCUGGUGUUACACAUGCUCGAGUGCGUCGUCAACACACAGCAACACCGCCAUCAACCACAUCAACAGGAGCAGUACCACUCACUCACUGUGAUCAGCGGCAGUGAUCAGCGUGGGGAGACGGCAACGCCGAUGACAAGCAUGGCAGGACUGCCAAAGACACCGAGCACCGGCAACACGGCGACAGUGGGUAGUGUGCCUGGCCGCACGCCGCGUUUUUGGAGCGCUGACACGAUCUCGGCGGGGAAGCAUUCCUCCCACGUCGGCUACCGGGCCAACGAGCACGACACCUCGCUGCGGCCGUGGGGAGGCCGCAGCGGCACAUUAGCGGCAGCGGGGGCUAGUACCUCGCUCACGCAGGGGUGGCAGGGCAGCCCUCACCUGUCAACCGGAGCAAUGGGCACGAUCUCCUCUCCGAGUCUGCACUUCGCGACACACACGGCCGUCAGCAGUACUCUUCCCCCCGCCGCCACCGCCACUGCGUCACAGCCAGUGUUGUCGCUCGCAGCGCUGGGACCGCUGUCGGUAUACUGUGCGUGGGGAUCGGCAUGCCCCCUGUGCGAGCUACUGAUGGCGCAUCCGCAGUGCUGGACGACGCGAAGCCAUCGCGACUACACGCUGGGCUUCUACACCAUCAAUGCCGCCCGGCCUCGGCACUACAGCAGCGGCCCCGCCAUUCAACUCACCUUCCCGUCCCUCGACGAGAGUGUCUGCACGUGUGCGCGGCGCGCCUGUCAUCUGCGCGACAACGCAGACUUCACGGCUCUCAUGCAGAACAGCUACACUGGAGACGGCAGCAGCAGCAGUCUGCUGCACUCCAUGCAGCCAUGGUUCAUGCGGCCGCACAUUUUCGUCACCCCAGUGACGGCGGCCUACGGUGUGUCGCCGUACGAGGUGUUUGAGCGCAUGUCGUAUCACUGCAAUCGGCUUGGCAGCGGCAGCGGACACAGCCAGCGGCUCCCACACCAUCACCCAUCGCAUUCACCCAUGGCUGGCGAGUCUUCCGCCAUAGCCGCGCCUUUAAUCGGGGUGAACAACACCAGCUCUCUCAUCGACCCCGAUCCUCGCGACCUCCUGCUCAUCUCUCGCGCGCAGGCGCACCCGCACGAGACCUCUGUUGUCACGGCCUGUCGUAACGCCGCCGUCGUCAGCACGAAGGAGCAAGGCCACACGCUCCUGCAGUGCGCCGACAUACCCAAAGCCGCGGUGGAGUACCUUCGCCGCUCCGCUGACGUCAUCAAGCAGCGCCUCGACUACGCGCGGCGACAGCAGAGCCUCCUCGAGCGGUACGAACAAGCGUGGGAACAGCAAAGCACGGCGCCGGCAAGGGCAGCACCACUCGCGUCCACGGCGUCCCCCGCUGCCGCUCCUGACGCGAACCCAGCCGCCCAGCCAGCAAGGUCCGCUGCGGUGGCCGUGGCUAAGCCGGCAUCCAGCUUGGCGAUUCAAGUGUCACAAGGCCACACUGGGCAAGGUGCGGCGAGUUUCAGUAGCCAUGCCGACGCUGCCAGAGGUGGUGGUAGCUCUCCGUCUUCCUCCUCCAUUCCCGUCUCCGCAACCGUGGCGCCACUGGGCAGGAGUGCCAGCCCCCAGCCACGAUCUCUGCGCUACGGCUGCCGCCAGCUUCCCCUGCACACCGCCUCCAGGCCCCUCGCGAAUCAAGCGCUGCUGUUUGAUAGCACCACGCCAGCCGAAAUGAACAGCGUCACCGACACUCUGGCACCACAGCGCCAGCAGGAGCAACAGCGGAACUACACGAGCUCGGCGCACAUCGACCCGCACACGCAGUUUAUCACCAGCGCGUCCGCCGCCACGCCGCUCGCUGGGGUCGGCGGCCUGCUCGGGACGGAGCGCUCUCUCCCAGUGGAAGUUCUGCUGCAGUACGUGCUGCAUCACGUGAUCGCGCUCAGCUGGGGAACGCGCGGACUCGAAGUGGACACGCUGGUGCGUCUCCUCGAGCGCAAUCUGCGCCGUCUUCCGCCGCUACUCGCGAAUCUGCCGUACAUCAUGCAGCUGCGCAGUGCCGGAUACACGAGCGCGUUGGCUGCGGCGGCGUCAGCAAGCCACACAACUGUGAGCAGUGCGGUUGGAGAGGCCACGGCAGCCGUUUCCUCUGCUUUCACCACGGUACACACGCGCCUCGCCGCCCCGUCGUUAUCUUCUUCGGUCCCCGUGCAUGAUGCGGCCCCCCAGGGAUCCUUCCAAGGCACCUCACCAGACAGGUCUGUGACAAGUCCCUACAGCGGCAUGUCGCACGCCGCCACCAGUGCCCCCAUCACAGAGGCAGAGGUACAGCUGCUGCAAGCCUACGAGGUGCUCGAUCAGCUGAGCUUGAUGAAGCUUCUGUCCACGUACGCGACGUGGCCGGUGCGCACGGUGCCGACGCGGCUGCUGCUGCACACGGUGGUGAACGAGUUCAGUGACGUUCUCUACGUGAACAGCUCGGGGCGUAACGGCGAUGCAGAGCAAUGAAGCUUUCCCGUCUCCGCGCCGUGUGGCAGCCCGCUCUCGAUCCGCGUGCAACGCGCACCGCGCGCUGGGCUCGUCCUGUGCGCGUGUGAAGUCGUGCGGCUUCAUGCUUUACUUCUUUAUUUGGUUUUAUGUUGCUGUUGGCUGUCUUGAGCUUGCGCACAGUGCUUGUGUGUGUGUGUGUGUGUUGUUGGCUGCUCUCCUCAACGGUUGCGGCAAUCCCUCUGCUCACGUCCUGAAAAGCAGCGGCGGUUGUGUCUCACACGCAUCCGGGAAGCGGAGAAAGCGAAACAGAAGCAGGCCUGGCAACGGCCUCCGGCAGCGUCGGCUCUUCCCACCGCGCACACGCGGCGAGGGAGUGCGACGAGGAGGUGGUGGGGCGAAAAGGUUCCUGAGCGACUUCUAUCCUGCGCGAUAUCCUUCUACGCAAACUGUUGCCCGGGCCCUCUCCCUUCCAAAUCCCACAAGAUGCAUCCACUUGUGCGAAACACAGCUCGCCCGCCUACCUGCCAUGCUGCGCCUCUCCUCCUCCUCCCUCCCCUCUCCACCCGUUUCUCGAUCAUCGGUAUCCACGCGCACGCCAUACACACGUGCGGGUGUUCAUGUCACCCCACACGCC
Molecule: unclassified non-coding RNA, 6831 nt
Filed under: Leishmania donovani
Lineage: Eukaryota; Euglenozoa; Kinetoplastea; Trypanosomatida; Trypanosomatidae
Description: gene:LdHU3.09.0560(CDS-product:hypothetical_prote in_conserved)
Source: RNAcentral